AGUGAACGCUGGCGGUAGGCCUAACACAUGCAAGUCGAACGGCAGCACAGUAAGAGCUUGCUCUUACGGGUGGCGAGUGGCGGACGGGUGAGGAAUACAUCGGAAUCUACUUUUUCGUGGGGGAUAACGUAGGGAAACUUACGCUAAUACCGCAUACGACCUACGGGUGAAAGCAGGGGAUCUUCGGACCUUGCGCGAUUGAAUGAGCCGAUGUCGGAUUAGCUAGUUGGCGGGGUAAAGGCCCACCAAGGCGACGAUCCGUAGCUGGUCUGAGAGGAUGAUCAGCACCACUGGAACUGAGACACGGUCCAGACUCCUACGGGAGGCAGCAGUGGCGACUAUUGGACAAUGGGCGCAAGCCUGAUCCAGCCAUACCGCGUGGGUGAAGAAGGCCUUCGGGUUGUAAAGCCAUUUUGUUGGGAAAGAAAAGCAGCAGGUUAAUACCCCGCUGUUCUGACGGUACCCAAAGAAUAAGCACCGGCUAACUUCGUG
RNAcentral lists this ribosomal RNA (492 nucleotides) under uncultured bacterium. RNAcentral's name for it is "partial 16S ribosomal RNA". It matches the Rfam family "Bacterial small subunit ribosomal RNA", at positions 29 to 507 of the family's 1533-position model. The record is from RNAcentral.